This 253-nucleotide unclassified non-coding RNA is filed under the name uncultured Alphaproteobacteria bacterium. RNAcentral's name for it is "contains 16S-23S intergenic spacer region". It matches the Rfam family "Bacterial small subunit ribosomal RNA", at positions 524 to 776 of the family's 1533-position model. The record is from RNAcentral. Lineage: Bacteria; Pseudomonadati; Pseudomonadota; Alphaproteobacteria.
UACGAAGGGACCUAGCGUAGUUCGGAAUUACUGGGCUUAAAGAGUUCGUAGGUGGUUGAAAAAGUUGGUGGUGAAAUCCCAGAGCUUAACUCUGGAACUGCCAUCAAAACUUUUCAGCUAGAGUUUGAUAGAGGAAAGCAGAAUUUCUAGUGUAGAGGUGAAAUUCGUAGAUAUUAGAAAGAAUACCAAUUGCGAAGGCAGCUUUCUGGAUCAUUACUGACACCGAGGAACGAAAGCAUGGGUAGCGAAGAGG